RNAcentral lists this unclassified non-coding RNA (349 nucleotides) under Hevea brasiliensis (rubber tree). The record is from RNAcentral. Lineage: Eukaryota; Viridiplantae; Streptophyta; Magnoliopsida; Malpighiales; Euphorbiaceae.
GCGGUUAACAUUCCAGAGCUUGAACUUCUGAGACGAUAUCAUAAAGAUGCUGUGUCUUGGAUAAAGCGUGUUAACAAUAUUCUAUUGGGCAUCAGCGAAAGGGAGGAUCAAGAAACUGUAGCUCACGAGUUAACUUGCAUUCAAAAGGAUGCAUCAUUACUUAGGGUUGAAGUUGAGGAGCUGCCUUGUGUGGAUAUUGAGCUAAAGAAGGCUCGUUGUAGGGUAAAAGCUCUGAAGGCACUUCGUUGCAGAACGUCCAUGGAUUAUAUUGAGAAGCUGUUGAUGGAGGCUAGCAUAUUGCAGAUCGAGAAAGAGAAAUUGUUUACUGAUGUUUACGAGGUAAAGGAAA